GGGUUGUGAGGUUAAGCGACUAAGCGUACACGGUGGAUGCCCUGGCAGUCAGAGGCGAUGAAGGACGUGCUAAUCUGCGAUAAGCGUCGGUAAGGUGAUAUGAACCGUUAUAACCGGCGAUUUCCGAAUGGGGAAACCCAGUGUGUUUCGACACACUAUCAUUAACUGAAUCCAUAGGUUAAUGAGGCGAACCGGGGGAACUGAAACAUCUAAGUACCCCGAGGAAAAGAAAUCAACCGAGAUUCCCCCAGUAGCGGCGAGCGAACGGGGAGGAGCCCAGAGCCUGAAUCAGUGUGUGUGUUAGUGGAAGCGUCUGGAAAGGCGCGCGAUACAGGGUGACAGCCCCGUACACAAAAAUGCACAUACUGUGAGCUCGAUGAGUAGGGCGGGACACGUGGUAUCCUGUCUGAAUAUGGGGGGACCAUCCUCCAAGGCUAAAUACUCCUGACUGACCGAUAGUGAACCAGUACCGUGAGGGAAAGGCGAAAAGAACCCCGGCGAGGGGAGUGAAAAAGAACCUGAAACCGUGUACGUACAAGCAGUGGGAGCCUCUUUUAUGGGGUGACUGCGUACCUUUUGUAUAAUGGGUCAGCGACUUAUAUUCUGUAGCAAGGUUAACCGAAUAGGGGAGCCGAAGGGAAACCGAGUCUUAACUGGGCGUUAAGUUGCAGGGUAUAGACCCGAAACCCGGUGAUCUAGCCAUGGGCAGGUUGAAGGUUGGGUAACACUAACUGGAGGACCGAACCGACUAAUGUUGAAAAAUUAGCGGAUGACUUGUGGCUGGGGGUGAAAGGCCAAUCAAACCGGGAGAUAGCUGGUUCUCCCCGAAAGCUAUUUAGGUAGCGCCUCGUGAAUUCAUCUCCGGGGGUAGAGCACUGUUUCGGCAAGGGGGUCAUCCCGACUUACCAACCCGAUGCAAACUGCGAAUACCGGAGAAUGUUAUCACGGGAGACACACGGCGGGUGCUAACGUCCGUCGUGAAGAGGGAAACAACCCAGACCGCCAGCUAAGGUCCCAAAGUCAUGGUUAAGUGGGAAACGAUGUGGGAAGGCCCAGACAGCCAGGAUGUUGGCUUAGAAGCAGCCAUCAUUUAAAGAAAGCGUAAUAGCUCACUGGUCGAGUCGGCCUGCGCGGAAGAUGUAACGGGGCUAAACCAUGCACCGAAGCUGCGGCAGCGACACUGUGUGUUGUUGGGUAGGGGAGCGUUCUGUAAGCCUGUGAAGGUGUGCUGUGAGGCAUGCUGGAGGUAUCAGAAGUGCGAAUGCUGACAUAAGUAACGAUAAAGCGGGUGAAAAGCCCGCUCGCCGGAAGACCAAGGGUUCCUGUCCAACGUUAAUCGGGGCAGGGUGAGUCGACCCCUAAGGCGAGGCCGAAAGGCGUAGUCGAUGGGAAACAGGUUAAUAUUCCUGUACUUGGUGUUACUGCGAAGGGGGGACGGAGAAGGCUAUGUUGGCCGGGCGACGGUUGUCCCGGUUUAAGCGUGUAGGCUGGUUUUCCAGGCAAAUCCGGAAAAUCAAGGCUGAGGCGUGAUGACGAGGCACUACGGUGCUGAAGCAACAAAUGCCCUGCUUCCAGGAAAAGCCUCUAAGCAUCAGGUAACAUCAAAUCGUACCCCAAACCGACACAGGUGGUCAGGUAGAGAAUACCAAGGCGCUUGAGAGAACUCGGGUGAAGGAACUAGGCAAAAUGGUGCCGUAACUUCGGGAGAAGGCACGCUGAUAUGUAGGUGAAGUCCCUCGCGGAUGGAGCUGAAAUCAGUCGAAGAUACCAGCUGGCUGCAACUGUUUAUUAAAAACACAGCACUGUGCAAACACGAAAGUGGACGUAUACGGUGUGACGCCUGCCCGGUGCCGGAAGGUUAAUUGAUGGGGUCAGCGCAAGCGAAGCUCUUGAUCGAAGCCCCGGUAAACGGCGGCCGUAACUAUAACGGUCCUAAGGUAGCGAAAUUCCUUGUCGGGUAAGUUCCGACCUGCACGAAUGGCGUAAUGAUGGCCAGGCUGUCUCCACCCGAGACUCAGUGAAAUUGAACUCGCUGUGAAGAUGCAGUGUACCCGCGGCAAGACGGAAAGACCCCGUGAACCUUUACUAUAGCUUGACACUGAACAUUGAGCCUUGAUGUGUAGGAUAGGUGGGAGGCUUUGAAGUGUGGACGCCAGUCUGCAUGGAGCCGACCUUGAAAUACCACCCUUUAAUGUUUGAUGUUCUAACGUGGACCCGUGAUCCGGGUUGCGGACAGUGUCUGGUGGGUAGUUUGACUGGGGCGGUCUCCUCCUAAAGAGUAACGGAGGAGCACGAAGGUUGGCUAAUCCUGGUCGGACAUCAGGAGGUUAGUGCAAUGGCAUAAGCCAGCUUGACUGCGAGCGUGACGGCGCGAGCAGGUGCGAAAGCAGGUCAUAGUGAUCCGGUGGUUCUGAAUGGAAGGGCCAUCGCUCAACGGAUAAAAGGUACUCCGGGGAUAACAGGCUGAUACCGCCCAAGAGUUCAUAUCGACGGCGGUGUUUGGCACCUCGAUGUCGGCUCAUCACAUCCUGGGGCUGAAGUAGGUCCCAAGGGUAUGGCUGUUCGCCAUUUAAAGUGGUACGCGAGCUGGGUUUAGAACGUCGUGAGACAGUUCGGUCCCUAUCUGCCGUGGGCGCUGGAGAACUGAGGGGGGCUGCUCCUAGUACGAGAGGACCGGAGUGGACGCAUCACUGGUGUUCGGGUUGUCAUGCCAAUGGCACUGCCCGGUAGCUAAAUGCGGAAGAGAUAAGUGCUGAAAGCAUCUAAGCACGAAACUUGCCCCGAGAUGAGUUCUCCCUGACCCUUUAAGGGUCCUGAAGGAACGUUGAAGACGACGACGUUGAUAGGCCGGGUGUGUAAGCGCAGCGAUGCGUUGAGCUAACCGGUACUAAUGAACCGUGAGGCUUAACCUUACAACGCCGAAGGUGUUU
This 2930-nucleotide ribosomal RNA is filed under the name Escherichia coli. Its description in RNAcentral is "bacterial LSU rRNA". It matches the Rfam family "Bacterial large subunit ribosomal RNA". Lineage: Bacteria; Pseudomonadati; Pseudomonadota; Gammaproteobacteria; Enterobacterales; Enterobacteriaceae. The record is from RNAcentral. RNAcentral also lists the same sequence under 2 other names.